RNAcentral lists this ribosomal RNA (111 nucleotides) under Rhodomonas sp. CCMP768. RNAcentral describes it as "partial Eukaryotic large subunit ribosomal RNA". It matches the Rfam family "Eukaryotic large subunit ribosomal RNA", at positions 1881 to 1991 of the family's 3401-position model. The record is from RNAcentral. Lineage: Eukaryota; Cryptophyceae; Pyrenomonadales; Pyrenomonadaceae.
CUCUGGUCGAGAGAAUCAUGGAGGUCAGGGAUAUCGGCAAAAUAGAUCCGUUACUUCGGGAAACGGAUCGGCUCUCAGGGCUGGGUGUUGGGGUCUUGGAGCUGCCACUAG